AAGGCCAAGGGAGAAAUGCAGGGGUUUCUCGGAAUUGUGUCAUUGGAUGUUGGAGAUGCAAGAAUUCAGCGAAGCUAGUGGGUGGAUUCAAGCGCUGGGAACGCUGAGGUAGGAGGCCCCGGGGGCGAAGAGGGGGACGGCAAACGCCGGCCCACCUGGAGGGCGCUAGUCCCUACAUGCUCGUCUACAUGGGCGGUCGUGGCCUGGCAUGUCUUGAUCUCCACUAACCUGAGGAAUGAGGAGAAUUCAUUGGAUCCUGGGGGGCGGGCGACAGGGAGGGGGCUGCUGCAGGCUGCAGAAUGGCGGCUCAGUUCAAGGCAACGCGGGUUGAAUUCUGGGAAAAGAGCGCUUAUUUAAUUCCCUCCCUUUGUUCAAAUCGUUGUUUUUUAGAACAAUGGAUGUGCGUAAACUAUUAGCACGGUUCGUUUUGCUUCUUGACCUUGUAUCGCAUAAAACCGUUAUAGUUGUUUCUUUUCCAUUCCUGUUGUAACGAGGAAAAUUUACCACGGACCACC
Molecule: small RNA, 515 nt
Filed under: Histoplasma capsulatum
Lineage: Eukaryota; Fungi; Ascomycota; Eurotiomycetes; Onygenales; Ajellomycetaceae
Also listed under: 1 other name
Description: hypothetical RNA
Source: RNAcentral